Molecule: non-coding RNA, 79 nt
Organism: Podarcis lilfordi (Lilford's wall lizard)
Lineage: Eukaryota; Metazoa; Chordata; Lepidosauria; Squamata; Lacertidae
Source: the annotation of a GenBank genome assembly
ACCCCUCCAUUGAUAGCUCAGGCAGCAGAGAAUGAAAUUCUUAAUCUCAGUAUUGUGGGUUCGAGCCCCACUUUGGGUG